UUAACUCAAACUUGUAUGGAGUGGGAACGUUUGCCUACAUUUGCCGCUAGGGGCGCUGUUCCAACUUCAUACAAAGCCCUUCCAGUUU
Molecule: microRNA precursor, 88 nt
Filed under: Bombyx mori (domestic silkworm)
Lineage: Eukaryota; Metazoa; Arthropoda; Insecta; Lepidoptera; Bombycidae
Description: mir-2807 microRNA precursor family
Rfam family: mir-2807 microRNA precursor family
Source: Rfam by way of RNAcentral